GCUCAGUUGGUUAAGUGUCUAACUCUUGAUCUCAGCUCAGGUCUCAGUCUUGGAACGUGAGUUCAAGCCCCACAUUGGGCU
RNAcentral lists this transfer RNA (81 nucleotides) under Mustela putorius furo (domestic ferret). It matches the Rfam family "tRNA". Rfam says of the family: Transfer RNA (tRNA) molecules are approximately 80 nucleotides in length. Their secondary structure includes four short double-helical elements and three loops (D, anti-codon, and T loops). Lineage: Eukaryota; Metazoa; Chordata; Mammalia; Carnivora; Mustelidae. The record is from Rfam by way of RNAcentral.